CAUUAAAGAAUGCCCCGUUUUUUGAAAUGGGUUCUAUUCCCAAACCGUGUAUACAUACCUUUGUUGCUUUGGCAGGCCGCCUUCGGGCGUCGGCUCACGCUGACCGCGCCUGCCAGAGGACCCAAACUCGUUUAUUUAGUGAUGUCUGAGUACUAUAUAAUAGUUAAAAACUUUCAACAACGGAUCUCUUGGUUCUGGCAUCGAUGAAGAACGCAGCGAAAUGCGAUAAGUAAUGUGAAUUGCAGAAUUCAGUGAAUCAUCGAAUCUUUGAACGCACAUUGCGCCCCUUGGUAUUCCGAGGGGCAUGCCUGUUCGAGCGUCAUUAUGACCACUCAAGCCUAGCUUGGUAUUGGGGUUCGCGGUCUCGCGGCCCUUAAAAUCAGUGGCGGUGCCGUCUGGCUCUAAGCGUAGUAAUUUAUCUCGCUAUUGGGUCCGGCGGUUGCUUGCCAACAACCCCCAACUUCUAAGGUUGACCUCGGAUCAGG
This is a ribosomal RNA of 485 nucleotides. The stretch from base 169 to 322 matches the Rfam family "5.8S ribosomal RNA".